This 483-nucleotide RNase P RNA is filed under the name Pyrinomonadaceae bacterium. RNAcentral's name for it is "RNase P RNA component class A". It matches the Rfam family "Bacterial RNase P class A". Rfam says of the family: Ribonuclease P (RNase P) is a ubiquitous endoribonuclease, found in archaea, bacteria and eukarya as well as chloroplasts and mitochondria. Its best characterised activity is the generation of mature 5'-ends of tRNAs by cleaving the 5'-leader elements of precursor-tRNAs. The record is from RNAcentral. Lineage: Bacteria; Pseudomonadati; Acidobacteriota; Blastocatellia; Blastocatellales; Pyrinomonadaceae.
GGAGAAGGUCGGGCGGUCGCCGCCAAAGCCCUUCGGGGUCGAGGGGGAGGAAAGUCCGAACACCACAGGGCAGCGAGCCAGCUAACGGCUGGGCGCGGGGCGGUCAAGGGCUGCGAGAGCAGACGCUUCGGCGGUCGCGUGACGACAAGUGCAACAGAGAACAGACCAGCCAGCGGGCUUCGGGUCUUUCGGGACUUGGAGGCAGCGGGUGAUGGGUGAAACGGUGCGGCCCCUUGCGGGGCUUAAAGUAAGAGCGCACCGGCGCGCGUGGCGACACGCGCGGCCAGGCAAACUCCUCGCGGUGCAAGACCAAAUAGGGAGAUCGUCAAACAGGGCUGCUCGCCCGAUGCGCGCGUCUUCGGGCGCGCGCGACGCCUCCGGGUAGGUCGCUUGAGCCGUUUGGUAACGAACGGCCUAGAGGAAUGAUCGUCGCCCCGAACCAGUUUCGGGGAACAGAAUUCGGCUUACAGACCUUCUCUCAAA